CCCUGAAGAAGAAAGGAAUGGAGUCUAAGCUAACCUACCAGGUUUGUACUGGAAGUCCUGCCAACAGCCUUUAAGGAGGCCUGCCUCUCCUGCAGUCAGAUGUGACCAAAGGAAUAUGAGUGAAAGGAAUGUGUACCUCUACCAAGCAUGACGCAUAUGAAGAAACAAGCCAUCCAUCCACAUCUGAUCCUUGUCUUAUUCUCUAUCUGCCAGCUGAAUGGAGAGAAAGAACUCCUGCUGGCCCACACUGGACUAUGACAUGAGCAAGAAAUACACUUUUAUUAUGUUAAGCCACUAAUAUUUUGGGAUUUUUUUUUUAGAGCAAUGGAAUCUAUCAUGAUGAAUACAUUUUUUAACAUUCUAAUAUCUUUUUUUUUGCUAAAAUUGAUCCAUAUUCUGCAUACUUGCUUUUGUCACUGAUCAUGUAAAUUUUCCCAAAUCUGUUAGUAUAGAGGCUAUUCAUUCUUUUUAAUAGGGGUGUAAUAAUCCUAUAUGUAUUACAGUAUAUAUUUAAUACAUUAUAUUCAACAUAUAUGAUUUAAUAAUUAUUACAGAUGAGCAUAUCUUUGCUUUUAGAUUCCUACUUCUAUAAAUGAUGCUGCAAUAAACAUUCUUAUACAUCCCCA
Rhinopithecus roxellana (golden snub-nosed monkey) is the source of this 626-nucleotide long non-coding RNA. RefSeq lists it as uncharacterized. Lineage: Eukaryota; Metazoa; Chordata; Mammalia; Primates; Cercopithecidae. The record is from RefSeq and is a predicted model, not a curated record. The transcript has 2 exons.